Molecule: long non-coding RNA, 414 nt
Filed under: Apteryx owenii (little spotted kiwi)
Lineage: Eukaryota; Metazoa; Chordata; Aves; Apterygiformes; Apterygidae
Description: lncRNA (ENSAOWG00000017556.1)
Source: RNAcentral
AUGUCCAGAGCCUUUGAAAAUCAGAAAUGUUUACUGAGGGAAACUCUGUUACUGAAGCCCAGUGGAAUGGUGACAUCAGGAGAGACCCUGCUGUCUCUGAUCUUCAAGUGCUUUGCAAGCAUGAUAUCAGCAGCAACAGACUGCACUGAUGCCUUCCUUGACAGCUCAGCCUUGCACAAAAAAACAGUGCCAUUUGUGGUUGCAAAUUCCAGCUUCCCUGCAUGGAGUCCUCAAGGGCUCAGCACCUCCCAUGAGCUUGGACAGGCCGCAUACAUGGAAAUGAGUUGGUCAGGAGAGGGGAGGCAAAGGCUGCUGAAGUCCUUCUGCAGAUACACCCUUCAGUGCACUGAUGUGCACAGAGUCACCCCAGAAUGCAUACUGGCAGAAGACUCCUGGGCCAAGAAGACCGCAUGA